CUCGUAGGCGGUUUGUCACGUCUGCUGUGAAAGCCCGGGGCUUAACCCCGGGUGUGCAGUGGGUACGGGCAGACUGGAGUGCAGUAGGGGAGACUGGAAUUCCUGGUGUAGCGGUGAAAUGCGCAGAUAUCAGGAGGAACACCGAUGGCGAAGGCAGGUCUCUGGGCUGUUACUGACGCUGAGGAGCGAAAGCAUGGGGAGCGAACAGGAUUAGAUACCCUGGUAGUCCAUGCCGUAAACGUUGGGCACUAGGUGUGGGGAACAUUCCACGUUUUCCGCGCCGUAGCUAACGCAUUAAGUGCCCCGCCUGGGGAGUACGGCCGCAAGGCUAAAACUCAAAGGAAUUGACGGGGGCCCGCACAAGCGGCGGAGCAUGCGGAUUAAUUCGAUGCAACGCGAAGAACCUUACCAAGGCUUGACAUACACCGGACCGCCCUAGAGAUAGGGUUUCCCUUCGGGGCUGGUGUACAGGUGGUGCAUGGUUGUCGUCAGCUCGUGUCGUGAGAUGUUGGGUUAAGUCCCGCAACGAGCGCAACCCUUAUCCUAUGUUGCCAGCACGUGAUGGUGGGGACUCAUGGGAGACUGCCGGGGUCAACUCGGAGGAAGGUGGGGAUGACGUCAAAUCAUCAUGCCCCUUAUGUCUUGGGCUUCACGCAUGCUACAAUGGCCGGUACAGUGGGUUGCGAUACUGUGAGGUGGAGCUAAUCCCUAAAAGCCGGUCUCAGUUCGGAUCGAAGUCUGCAACUCGACUUCGUGAAGUUGGAGUCGCUAGUAAUCGCAGAUCAGCAAUGCUGCGGUGAAUACGUUCCC
RNAcentral lists this ribosomal RNA (810 nucleotides) under uncultured bacterium. RNAcentral's name for it is "bacterial SSU rRNA". It matches the Rfam family "Bacterial small subunit ribosomal RNA", at positions 568 to 1375 of the family's 1533-position model. The record is from RNAcentral.